RNAcentral lists this ribosomal RNA (508 nucleotides) under uncultured bacterium. RNAcentral describes it as "bacterial SSU rRNA". It matches the Rfam family "Bacterial small subunit ribosomal RNA", at positions 21 to 518 of the family's 1533-position model. The record is from RNAcentral.
GGCUCAGAACGAACGCUGGCGGCGCGUCUUAAGCAUGCAAGUCGAACGGCAAGAGGUAGCAAUACCUCCUAGAGUGGCGGACUGGUGAGUAACACGUGGGUGACAUACCCUUCAGAUGGGGAUAGCUAUUAGAAAUAGUAGAUAAUACCGAAUACGAGCACAGGGGUUAGAGAUCUGUGAGGAAAGGAGCUAAGGCUCCGCUGAAGGAAUGGCCUGCGGCCCAUUAGCUAGUUGGUGAGGUAAGAGCCCACCAAGGCGAUGAUGGGUAUCCGGCCUUAGAGGGUGAACGGACACAUUGGGACUGAGAUACGGCCCAGACUCCUACGGGAGGCAGCAGCUAAGAAUAUUCCGCAAUGGACGAAAGUCUGACGGAGCGACGCCGCGUGGAUGAAGAAGGCCGGAAGGUUGUAAAAUCCUUUUGAAACUGAAGAAUAAGCGUUGUAGGGAAUGACAGCGUGGUGACAGUAGGUUUUGAAUAAGCAACGGCUAAUUACGUGCCAGCCGCUGC